Molecule: ribosomal RNA, 343 nt
Filed under: uncultured bacterium
Lineage: Bacteria
Description: bacterial SSU rRNA
Rfam family: Bacterial small subunit ribosomal RNA
Source: RNAcentral
AGAGUUUGAUCAUGGCUCAGGAUGAACGCCAGCUACAGGCUUAACACAUGCAAGUCGAGGGGCAGCAUGUUGGUUGCUUGCAACCAACGAUGGCGACCGGCGCACGGGUGAGUAACGCGUAUCCAACCUACCCUUGUCCAUCGGAUAACCCGUCGAAAGGCGGCCUAACACGAUAUGCGGUUCACAGCAGGCAUCUAACGUGAACGAAAUGUAAAGGAGAAGGAUGGGGAUGCGUCUGAUUAGCUUGUGGCGGGUAACGCCACAAGGCUACGAUCAGUAGGGUUCUGAGAGGAAGGUCCCCCACAUUGGAACUGAGACACGGUCCAAACUCCUACGGGGAGCA